UAGGCGGAAUGUUGCGUUAAAGGAAAGGUCGUUGUUAAGCCCUGCAGCCACUCGAUUCACUAAGUUAGCCAUGAAUGGCUGUUCCAACGAAAGGCGGAACUGACUCCACGGAGGGUGUAAGACCCGUAUGGGCGAGUGUUAAUGCUGUAAGGGUUCGGCCUCUGUUCCUUGAGAGUCGCGUUGCUUUGGCAUGCAGCGCUAAGCAGGUCGUAAACUCGAUCUAAGGCUAAAUAUAUCCACAGAACCGAUAGUGAACUAGUACCGUGAGGGAAAGUUGAAAAGCACUCUGAAGAGAGAGUUAAAAGACCGU
This 310-nucleotide ribosomal RNA is filed under the name Liljeborgia quadridentata. RNAcentral's name for it is "eukaryotic LSU rRNA". It matches the Rfam family "Eukaryotic large subunit ribosomal RNA", at positions 135 to 400 of the family's 3401-position model. The record is from RNAcentral. Lineage: Eukaryota; Metazoa; Arthropoda; Malacostraca; Amphipoda; Liljeborgiidae.